CAGCAGCCGCGGUAAGACAUAAGGUGCGAGCGUUAUCCGGAAUCACUGGGCGUAAAGGGCAUCUAGGCGGUUUAUUAAGUCAGAGGUGAAAAGCCGAAGCUCAACUUUGGUCUUGCCUUUGAAACUGAUAGACUAGAAUACGGGAUAGGAGGGCGGAACUACAAGUGUAGAGGUGAAAUUCGUAGAUAUUUGUAGGAAUGCCGAUGACGAAGGUAGCUCUCUGGACCGAUAUUGACGCUGAAGUGCGAAAGCUAGGGUAGCAAACAGGAUUAGAUACCCUGGUAGUCCUAGCUGUAAACGAUGAUUACUGGGUGUGGGGGGUCGAACCUCUGUGCCGAAGCUAACGCGAUAAGUAAUCCGCCUGGGGAGUACGGUCGCAAGACUGAAACUCAAAGGAAUUGACGGGGACCCGCACAAGCGGUGGAGCAUGUGGUUUAAUUCGACGCAACGCGAGGAACCUUACCAGGUCUUGACAUCGUACAAAUCUUUUAGAGAUAGAAGAGUGCCGGCUUGCCGGAAUGUAUAGACAGGAGGUGCAUGGCC
RNAcentral lists this ribosomal RNA (543 nucleotides) under uncultured archaeon. RNAcentral's name for it is "bacterial SSU rRNA". It matches the Rfam family "Bacterial small subunit ribosomal RNA", at positions 509 to 1050 of the family's 1533-position model. The record is from RNAcentral.